RNAcentral lists this non-coding RNA (100 nucleotides) under Paenibacillus ferrarius. RNAcentral's name for it is "Guanine sequence". It matches the Rfam family "Purine riboswitch aptamer". From Rfam's summary of the family: Riboswitches are metabolite binding domains within certain messenger RNAs that serve as precision sensors for their corresponding targets. Allosteric rearrangement of mRNA structure is mediated by ligand binding, and this results in modulation of gene expression. Lineage: Bacteria; Bacillati; Bacillota; Bacilli; Caryophanales; Paenibacillaceae. The record is from Rfam by way of RNAcentral.
AUUGCUAAAUAAAUUCCAUACCGUAUAACCUCAAUGAUAUGGUUUGAGGGUCUCUACCAGGAACCGUAAAAUCCUGAUUACGAAGAAAGCGUGUAUUCUG